GAUGAACGCUAGCGGGAGGCCUAACACAUGCAAGCCGAGCGGUAUUUGUUCUUCGGAACAGAGAGAGCGGCGCACGGGUGCGGAACACGUGUGCAACCUGCCUUUAUCUGGGGGAUAGCCUUUCGAAAGGAAGAUUAAUACCCCAUAAUAUAUUGAGUGGCAUCACUUGAUAUUGAAAACUCCGGUGGAUAGAGAUGGGCACGCGCAAGAUUAGAUAGUUGGUGAGGUAACGGCUCACCAAGUCAAUGAUCUUUAGGGGGCCUGAGAGGGUGAUCCCCCACACUAGUACUGAGACACGGACCAGACUCCUACGGGAGGCAGCAGUGAGGAAUAUUGGACAAUGGGUUAGCGCCUGAUCCAGCCAUCCCGCGUGAAGGACGACGGCCCUAUGGGUUGUAAACUUCUUUUGUAUAGGGAUAAACCUACUCUCGUGAGAGUAGCUGAAGGUACUAUACGAAUAAGCACCGGCUAACUCCGUG
This 479-nucleotide ribosomal RNA is filed under the name uncultured bacterium. Its description in RNAcentral is "partial 16S ribosomal RNA". It matches the Rfam family "Bacterial small subunit ribosomal RNA", at positions 28 to 507 of the family's 1533-position model. The record is from RNAcentral.